Molecule: ribosomal RNA, 253 nt
Filed under: uncultured bacterium
Lineage: Bacteria
Description: partial 16S ribosomal RNA
Rfam family: Bacterial small subunit ribosomal RNA
Source: RNAcentral
UACAGAGGGUGCAAGCGUUAAUCGGAAUUACUGGGCGUAAAGCGCGCGUAGGUGGUAUGUUAAGUUGGAUGUGAAAGACCUGGGCUCAACCUAGGAUGGUCAUCCAAGACUGGGAUACUAGAGUAUGGUAGAGGGAAGUGGAAUUUCCGGUGUAGCGGUGAAAUGCGUAGAGAUCGGAAGGAACACCAGUGGCGAAGGCGGCUUCCUGGACUAAUACUGACACUGAGGCGCGAAAGCGUGGGUAGCAAACAGG